This 305-nucleotide ribosomal RNA is filed under the name uncultured bacterium. Its description in RNAcentral is "partial 16S ribosomal RNA". It matches the Rfam family "Bacterial small subunit ribosomal RNA", at positions 505 to 807 of the family's 1533-position model. The record is from RNAcentral.
ACAGCAGUCGCCACGGGAAUACGUAGGUGGCAAGCGUUGUCCGGAAUUAUUGGGCGUAAAGGGCUCGCAGGCGGUUUCUCAAGUCUGAUGUGAAAGCCCCCGGCUCAACCGGGGAGGGUCAUUGGAAACUGGGAAACUUGAGUGCAGAAGAGGAGAGUGGAAUUCCACGUGUAGCGGUGAAAUGCGUAGAGAUGUGGAGGAACACCAGUGGCGAAGGCGACUCUCUGGUCUGUAACUGACGCUGAGGAGCGAAAGCGUGGGGAGCGAACAGGAUUAGAUACCCCCGUAGUCCCUGUCUCUUAUAC